AUGGGAACAGGCACCUAUGUAACAGUCUGGCCACUUUUCCAUAGGGCUGCUGCAAUAUGCUUGGGGCCUGUUUCCGUCCCUAGUCACCUUGGAUUUUCCAGAACCUGGAGGUGUGUCACCAGUGAAGCCUGCCAAACAGCAAAGAUAGCAGCCUGUCCUUCCCUGUGGGAGCUUUGUCCCAGAGAGACUCUCUGGAGCGCAUCCCUUCAGAGAGUACUUCCUGAAAGCCCUGUAUCUCCACUAUCUCGAUUCUCUGGAGUAAAUCACGAGUAAGUUAUCUUAAAAGAGAUGUUCAAGCAUGUAAAUACUAAGAAAGCAGAAUCUUAUUUGGGAAGAAUUUUAGUAGACAGUUUUAUCUACUUAUCCUUUGGUAGAAGGUAGGGUUUCAGGGAAAGGAACAUAGAGAUAACAAUGUUGGGUUUAUAUUAGAAAAGAGGAUGCUCUUUUACACAUUUCCUGAUUUAAAAAAAGUCAGCGCUGACUAAAAGUAAUCUGUAAGAUUUUAAAAACUGUACUUCAUUUAUCUAAGUAUCAUAGUAAUUUCUCAUAUAUCCUGAGAAGAAACACAGAAAAAUUCCCUAAAAAACACCCUAGUUUGAGUGAGAAAUAGAAUAAAAGGAGAACUGUUUCAUUCUUUCAGUUUUAUGAGAAUGCCAUUAUUUUGUUAUGUCUGCUAUAUCAAUCUAAUGUAUCUUCUGAAUGACUUCAUUUAUUUUUUUCUACAGAAUAUAGUCAUAACAUUCAAUUUCAUCAUAACUCUUAAUACUUUCUGAUUGUUUAACUUUUUAAAGUAUCCUAUAAUAUAUAUUUUUUAUUUUUUCAUUUGAAAUAGCUUUAUGAUUCAUGAGUCCAAAGAGGACAGUCUUUCCAUCUAUCCAUCUUAUAACUGAUGUGGCUCCUAAGGAACAGCAAAACCUGAAACAAUUAUGGGAACAAGCAUUUGUCAACCUCGCACAUGAAGCCACUCUUUGUAUGUAUUAUGCAUCUCAAUCUCUAUAUAUGGUUAUCAACAUAAUAAUUCAAGUAAAGGUAAUAUAAUAAAUACUAAGACUUCACUAUAGCAAAAUGAUAUAAUGCAAUUAGACAAAUUCUGCCAGACAGAAUUAGACAAAUUUCAAGACAAAUGCUUGGGAAGUUUAGUUUAUAUGACCCACUGUCACUACUAUUUUAUUUUGCAAAAUGGGAUUAGGAAAUAGGAAUCAAAUGUAUAGAAUAUAUAAUGAUAUGGAUUAAUAUAUUUAUAUAUAAGUAUGCAUAAUAUAUAUUUAUAUUUAAAUUUAAAUCUUUAGAAGGAGAUUUCAGAUCAAAUGAAAACUGAUUAAGUGCCAUUACACUGGUUAACCCAGAAAUGAGUCAGAUCUUACAUUUUUGAAGUCAUUAAAUUACCAUAAUUUAGCAAGGCAACUGCUGUUUUGUGUUUUAGUCCACUUAAAUAAUGCAUUACAUAGUACAUUGCUCAAGCUAAUUUUGAACACUAGCUAAUUACUUCACUAGCUAUAAGACAUGUUAACAGGUAACGUAGAAUGCAAACUAUUUCCUUGUAGAAGUGUUUACAAACAUAAAUCAGAGAAAUAGUGAAACAGAUUGUCAGCUGAAAGUUAUCUUUACGAUUUUUUUUGAUAAGUGCAUUGAAUUAUGGAGCUAGUUCACGAAAAGUGGAUAACUGGUAUUUGUUAACAUAAGAAGUUGUGGUUAUUUUCAGAGGGGGACAUUUUUGGUUGACCACAUAGCAAAAUAACAUUCCCCCAAAAAACUGCACUGUGAAUUAAUGAAUGACCUCAAAGUGAUAAAUAAAGAAAACACAGAUUUGUAGUUGUAAGGAUUUUACUUAUGCAGUAAGACAAAAUGCCAGCUGAGAGAUUAAAUAAAAACAGAUUUUUCUAAUAUACUUGGCAUAUUUUAGGAUAGAUGUACCAUCUAUGUGACAAGUGAUGAAAAAUAGAACUGGGAAAAAAGAACUUUCAUGGGACAUGUAAAAUCAUUAAGAGAAUUAAAUAAGAGAGAAUGGCAGUGAACUCAUUUUGGGUCAAUAUAUGUGGAAACUCAAAAAGAUAAAACGUCAGUCAAUAAAGAGGAAAGGGUAAUAUUGAGAAUAUAGAGGGGAAACUGGGUGGGUUUAAAUGUAAGUGGCUUCAGAAUCAGUUUUGAUCUGUAUAUUAGUUCCCUAUUGCUGCAAAUAGGGAACUAAUUAUCAGCUUCGGCAACUUUAAAAAACACACACAUUUAUUAUCUCACAGUUUCUGUGUGUCUUAGUUCAUUUUGUGUUACUAUUAAAAAAAAAAAACGACCCUUUGGGAGGCUGAGGUGGGCGGAUCACAAGGUCAAGAGAUCAAGACCAUCCUGACCAACACAGUGAAACCCCAUCUCUACUGAAAAUACAAAAAUUAGCCGGGCAUGGUGGCAUGCCCCUGUGGUCCCAGCUACUCGGGAGGCUGAGGCAGAAGAAUCGCUUGAACCCAGGAAGCAGAGGUUGCAGUCAGCCGAGAUUGCGCCACUGCACUCCAGCCUGGCGACAGAGCAAGACUAGAUCUCAGAAAAAAAACAAAACAAAAAAACAAACAAAAAAAAACUAUGGUUGACUAAUUUAUAAAAACAAACCAUUUAUUUGUCUCACGGUUCCUGUACAAGAAGCAUGGCACCAGCAUCUAUUACUGGUGAGGAGUUCAGGCUGCUUCCACACAUGGUAGAAGGCAAAAAGGAGCUGGCAUGUAGAGAGAUCACAUAGCAAGAAAGGAUACAAAGGGGUUUCCAGGCUCUUUUUAAUAAUCAGCUCUCAUGAGAACUAGUAGAGCAAGAAGUCACUUACUACUGAAUGGCUCUAAGCCAUUCAUAAGGAAUCCACCACCGUGAUCUACUAGGCCUCAUCUCCAAAACUGGGAAUCUCAUUUCAACAUGAGUUUUGGAAGGGUCAAAUAUCCAAAGUGUAGCAUUCGACCCCUGAACCCCCCCAAAUAUCAUAUCCUUCUCACAUGCAAAAUACAAUCAUUUUAUCCCAAUAGUUCCCAAAAACUUUAGCUUGUUCCAGCAUCGACUCAGAAAUCCAAAGUUCAAAGUCCUAUCUAAGACUCAAGGCAAUUUCCUUACAACUAUGAGUCUGUAUAUCAAAAAAACAAGUUAUUUACCUCCAAGGUACAAUGGUGGUACAGGUAUUCAGUAAAUAUUCCCAUUCCAAAAUAGAGAAAUUGGCCAAAAGAAAGGGGGAAUAAGCCCUACACAAUUCCAAAACCCAGCAGAGCAGACAUUAAAUCUUAAACCUCCAAAAUAAUCUACUUUGACUCCAUGUCCUGCAUCAUGGGCACACUGGUAGGCAGGGUGGGCUCCAAAGACCUCAAGAAGCCCCACUCCCAUAACUUUGCUAGGUGCACCCAUGUGGCUGCUCUCAUGGGCUGUAGUCCAAUGUUUGCAGUUUUAUUUGGCUGCAGUUGCAUGCUUCCAGGGGCUCUAUAAUUCUGUAGUCUGGAAGGUGGUGGUACUGCCCUAGUAGGCACCAUUUGUGGGGGCUCCAACCCUUAUUGCAUUCUGAGCACCUGUGGCUAUAAUACCAUAUGCAUGCCACCAAGGCUUAUAGCUUACGCCCUCUGGAGCAGCAGCCUGAGCAGUACCUGGGGCUCUUUGAGCCACAGCUGGAGCUGGAGCAGUGGGAAUGUGGGAAAGAACAUCCUGAGACAGCAUAGGACAGCAGUAUCCUGGGCCUGGCUCCCAAAACAAUUCCGUCUUCUUAGGCCUCUGAGCAUCUGAUAGGGCCUAUCACCCAUCGUCUUGACUAUCAGCAUCUGGCUUCCAUUUAGUCAUGGUAAUCUUUUUAGCAAAUGGUAGUCCCACAAUGUCCUUGGAUUCCUCUCCUGAAAACACUCUUUUCUUCUCUAUCACAUGGCCAGGCUGCAAAUUUUCCAGAUUUUUAAACUUUGCUUCCUUUGUAAUCAUAAAUUUCAACUUAAGGUCAUUCGUUUACUCCAAGAUUAUAUUGUAAGUUGUUAAA
This 3979-nucleotide long non-coding RNA is filed under the name Callithrix jacchus (white-tufted-ear marmoset). RNAcentral's name for it is "lncRNA (ENSCJAG00000084653.1)". The record is from RNAcentral. Lineage: Eukaryota; Metazoa; Chordata; Mammalia; Primates; Cebidae.